CCCAUCGGUACCACACUGGCUAGGUUGUUUUCUGCCUAGGCCAGUGUUACAAUGUUGAGAGAAAACAGUCAAUAACUGGCUGGCAUUCUGGGACUAGUUCAUGCUAAUUAUGUAUUAACUAUAAAAGUGUGCCAGCAUAGU
This 141-nucleotide small nucleolar RNA is filed under the name Ochotona princeps (American pika). Its description in RNAcentral is "Small nucleolar RNA SNORA74 (ENSOPRG00000022251.1)". Lineage: Eukaryota; Metazoa; Chordata; Mammalia; Lagomorpha; Ochotonidae. The record is from RNAcentral.